Non-coding RNA from Heligmosomoides polygyrus, 75 nucleotides. The record is from Rfam. NCBI's taxonomy places the organism in Eukaryota, Metazoa, Nematoda, Chromadorea, Rhabditida, Heligmosomidae.
GCGCCGGUGGUGUAAAGGCGUAGAGCAUUCCCGCCCGGUCAGAGGGAGGUGCAGGUUCGAGUCCCGCCUGGCGCU